Molecule: ribosomal RNA, 561 nt
Filed under: uncultured bacterium
Lineage: Bacteria
Description: partial 16S ribosomal RNA
Rfam family: Bacterial small subunit ribosomal RNA
Source: RNAcentral
UGGGGAAUAUUGCACAAUGGGCGAAAGCCUGAUGCAGCAACGCCGCGUGAGUGAUGAAGGCCUUCGGGUUGUAAAGCUCUGUCUUUUGGGACGAUAAUGACGGUACCAAAGGAGGAAGCCACGGCUAACUACGUGCCAGCAGCCGCGGUAAUACGUAGGUGGCAAGCGUUGUCCGGAUUUACUGGGCGUAAAGGAUGCGUAGGCGGGAUAGUCAGUCUGUUGUAAAAGUGCGGGGCUCAACCCCGUGAUCGCAAUGGAAACAGCUAUUCUUGAGUGCAGGAGAGGAAAGUGGAAUUCCCAGUGUAGCGGUGAAAUGCGUAGAUAUUGGGAGGAACACCAGUGGCGAAGGCGACUUUCUGGACUGUGUCUGACGCUGAGGCGCGAAAGCCAGGGGAGCGAACGGGAUUAGAUACCCCGGUAGUCCUGGCCGUAAACGAUGAGUACUAGGUGUAGGAGGUAUCGACCCCUUCUGUGCCGCAGUUAACACAAUAAGUACUCCGCCUGGAAGUACGAUCGCAAGAUUAAAACUCAAAGGAAUUGACGGGGUCAUAGCUGUUUCCU